GAUGAACGCUGGCGGCGUGCCUAAUACAUGCAAGUCGAGCGAACAGACGAGGAGCUUGCUCCUCUGACGUUAGCGGCGGACGGGUGAGUAACACGUGGAUAACCUACCUAUAAGACUGGGAUAACUUCGGGAAACCGGGGCUAAUACCGGAUAAUAUAUUAAACCGCAUGGUUCAAUAGUAAAAGACGGUUUUGCUGUCACUUAUAGAUGGAUCCGCGCCGCAUUAGCUAGUUGGUAAGGUAACGGCUUACCAAGGCAACGAUGCGUAGCCGACCUGAGAGGGUGAUCGGCCACACUGGAACUGAGACACGGUCCAGACUCCUACGGGAGGCAGCAGUAGGGAAUCUUCCGCAAUGGGCGAAAGCCUGACGGAGCAACGCCGCGUGAGUGAUGAAGGUCUUCGGAUCGUAAAACUCUGUUAUUAGGGAAGAACAAAUGUGUAAGUAACUAUGCACGUCUUGACGGUACCUAAUCAGAAAGCCACGGCUAACUACGUG
This 497-nucleotide ribosomal RNA is filed under the name uncultured bacterium. RNAcentral describes it as "partial 16S ribosomal RNA". It matches the Rfam family "Bacterial small subunit ribosomal RNA", at positions 28 to 507 of the family's 1533-position model. The record is from RNAcentral.